UCGCUUGCCAGGGAACUACGAGCCCCAGCUUGAAACCCAAAGGACUUGGCGGUGCUUUAGACCCCCCUAGAGGAGCCUGUUCUAGAACCGAUAACCCCCGUUUAACCUCACCCUCUCUUGUUCCUCCCGCCUAUAUACCGCCGUCGUCAGCUUACCCUGUGAAGGACUAACAGUGAGCAUAAUUGGCACAGCCUAAAACGUCAGGUCGAGGUGUAGCGUAUGAGGGGGGAAGAAAUGGGCUACAUUCACUGAGCCAGUGAAAACGAACGAUGCCUUGAAACACUUAUCUGAAGGAGGAUUUAGCAGUAAGAGGGCAAUAGAGCGCCCCUC
This 330-nucleotide ribosomal RNA is filed under the name Pomatoschistus microps (common goby). RNAcentral describes it as "partial 12S ribosomal RNA". It matches the Rfam family "Bacterial small subunit ribosomal RNA", at positions 865 to 1362 of the family's 1533-position model. The record is from RNAcentral. Lineage: Eukaryota; Metazoa; Chordata; Actinopteri; Gobiiformes; Gobiidae.